This 1015-nucleotide long non-coding RNA is filed under the name Homo sapiens (human). RNAcentral describes it as "HSALNT0193185". Lineage: Eukaryota; Metazoa; Chordata; Mammalia; Primates; Hominidae. The record is from RNAcentral.
GGCACAUGGUUCCUACCCAUGUCAGGUGGGACGGAUAUGCCUAGUAUUAAUUACAGCAAUGUAGGAAUGCUAAAAUAGGAUGCUGCAGAACCUACAGAAGAAAAACCCCUAAUCUUGGCGUGAGCCACCAUGCCUGGCCCAAGCUGAGUCUUAAAGGACGAAUAAAAGAGACCACACAGGGCUGGGCAAAGAAAUUCUAGGCAGAGGAAAUUGCAAGCACAAAGGAGUGGAGACUACCAGCAGCAUGUGGCUUUGGGGAAACCAUAAAUGGCUGUUUUCUUGAACUCGGGCUGUUUGGGAGGCAUGAAGUAAGACAAGGAUGAAAGAGUAGGCAAAUCGUGAAGGGUGUGUAUGUAUAUUAUGGUGAGUGUUCAAGCAGUCACAGGGAGGUUAUGGGGAUUGGAAAGGAAUGUUUAAAAAUAGCUGGAGGUGAGGUGGAAAUUAAAGGGUGGGAUUUAGUAAGAAAUGUUAAGGGGCUGAAUAAGGCAGUGUGGUAAGCAAGGAGCAAAAACGACAGAUUUGAGAGUUACUUGAGAGGUAGAAUUGAUAGCACUUCACUGGUUAGAUUGACUGGGGGUCAUGAGAGAAACGGUGGUGUCAAGGAUGCUACCCUAGUUUCUGGUGAGGCCUCUUGGUUGUGCUGUGACUCAUGUCUCACAGACCUUAUAAUAGGAGGUUGGAUCACCCUGGCACAAUCUCCAACACAGUUUGAUUAACAAAGUGCUAAAAAGAACUAAACCAUUACAACAAGAAUAGCAGGCUACUGAGUUUCCAGCAAAUGAGAGAAUUAGAACAUCCCUUAUAGAUCCAUAACUCAUCAAUUUCACUAUGCAUGAGCUGAAGAUAGGCAAUUCUCCACUAGAUGAGGAGUCUAUGAAUUUCAAGGGAGACAAUUUAAGCCUAAAACUUAAAACAAAUUUGAUCCAACUUCUUUUUUUUUUUGACAGAGUCUCGCUCUGUCGCCAGGCUGGAAAGCAGAGGCACGAUCUCUGCUCACUGCAACCUCCACCUCCCG